UAUAUAUAUAUAUAUAUAUAUAUUAUUUUUCUCCGAACUAUGAGACUAUUAAUCAAACUUUGAAGUUUUUAGUCAACUGAUUAGCUAUUUUUAUAGAUAAUUUACAAAUUAUAAUAUUAUAUAUUCAAAACCUUAUAUUAUUGUUCUGCUCAUCUUCUUUAGAGACAACUGAGAGAAGCCACUCAAAGAGCGCAACAAAAUGAAUUAAGUUAUUUUCAUUUACAAAAAAUUGAUAUCAAUGUAUGAUUAAAUCAGUAAGACAAAUGAGUGCAAUAUUAAUUAAUUAAUUAAUUAUCAAACUUAUUUAAUAUUAUUUUAUCUUAUAGUAAUAUUGUUAA
This 338-nucleotide long non-coding RNA is filed under the name Panax ginseng (ginseng). Its description in RNAcentral is "long non-coding RNA (PGIN_LNC004502)". Lineage: Eukaryota; Viridiplantae; Streptophyta; Magnoliopsida; Apiales; Araliaceae. The record is from RNAcentral.